CAUUAGAUGACUGAAAGCAAGUAUUAAUUUUUUAAAUUAUUAUAUAGUAAAUUAGCACUUACUUCUAAUGA
Molecule: transfer RNA, 71 nt
Filed under: Phaonia fuscata
Lineage: Eukaryota; Metazoa; Arthropoda; Insecta; Diptera; Muscidae
Description: tRNA-Lys
Source: RNAcentral